Long non-coding RNA from Cyprinus carpio carpio, 1106 nucleotides. The record is from Ensembl. Lineage: Eukaryota; Metazoa; Chordata; Actinopteri; Cypriniformes; Cyprinidae.
GUGAGUAACGUUAACUGUUAAUAUAAUUUUAUGAUGUAUAUGACUGUUAUAACAUUAAGUAAUGUGUACUGAAACGUUAAUUAAAUCGUAAAACUAUUUAAAAAACGAAGUUUUAAUUCCCUUUAGUCAGUUUUUUUCUUCCCCAGAGAAUCAGAUCGAUUGUAAAUGAAUAUGCUAUUCCCGUUUGCUUGCUAGCAUUAAUAAAUAAAAACAUUAUCUGAAAGACUAGCAAAACUGUUUAGAGAAGUAUUACUUAACGUUAAUAAAAAUGUCUGGUGAAAUGUGAAAGGUCGCCGAAAUCUUUAGGCUAUAAAAGCCGCACGGACCAUUUAUCGGAUCGGACCAGUGAAUGAAGCUGCUCGAGCGAGCCGAGCUCACACAUCAGUCAUACGACAGACGCAGAUUCAAUAAAUGGAUUUCUUUGUAAAGGAAAGAUUACAACAGUGGAACCUCUGCAAUUUAAUAGAAACAUUUCAAGAGCUUCAGUGUUUACAGUACUGGCCAAUGCAUGCGUGUGAUGCUGACGGAGGAGCCGUUCAAUAAUGAGUCAGCGUUUGGAUGUGAGUACACGGAAGCUCUGAACUGCAUUCACUACGUCAACUGCGUUGGUACUAAUAUGGUGCACUACCUCAAUAAUGAGACAAGCCAGGAUCCACAUGUCUUGGUGCUUGGAGACAAAGAAAAUUCCUCCCAAGUUUUUAUCAUUUUCAUUGGAGAGGCAGUUGAAAAGGAGACCUUACUUCAAGCAGUGAACGUAUGCUUCAAAAUGUUCUACAUCUAUGACAUAAACUACCCAAAGCCCUCUCCUCCAAUUUGGGAGUUCUUGCAGCAUGCAGUCUAUAAUAUUCCUGGAGGAGUUCCUUUUGCACAUUGCUGCCUCCUAAAAAACUUUGUAUUCAAAGUUACUGAUCAUCAGUAGAUCCAGUAGCCAAAACACAAAUUAAAGGGUUAGUUCACACAAAAAUGAAAAUUCUGUCAUUAAUUACUCACCCUCAUGUUGUUCCAAACCCAAGACCUCCGUUCAUCUUUGGAACACAAAUUAAGAUAUUUUUGCAUUCUGACAGCUCUCUGACCCUCCCAUAGACAGCAAGGGUCCUUACACCAUC